GGAGGGUGUAGCUCAGUGGUAGAGCACGUGCCUAGUAUGCACGAGGUCCUGGGUUCAAUCCCCAACACCUCCA
This 73-nucleotide transfer RNA is filed under the name Vicugna pacos (alpaca). Its description in RNAcentral is "tRNA-Thr (AGT) (tRNA-Thr-AGT-16-1)". It matches the Rfam family "tRNA". From Rfam's summary of the family: Transfer RNA (tRNA) molecules are approximately 80 nucleotides in length. Their secondary structure includes four short double-helical elements and three loops (D, anti-codon, and T loops). The record is from RNAcentral. Lineage: Eukaryota; Metazoa; Chordata; Mammalia; Artiodactyla; Camelidae.